This 480-nucleotide long non-coding RNA is filed under the name Equus caballus (horse). Its description in RNAcentral is "lncRNA (ENSECAG00000036996.2)". Lineage: Eukaryota; Metazoa; Chordata; Mammalia; Perissodactyla; Equidae. The record is from RNAcentral.
GUCAUUUAAAGAACCUUACCUUGCUGAAGAAAUUCAGGUUGGAUUUGCUGCCCAAACAUUUGGAUCUGGUGACUGUGGAUCAGGAGCAAGGUUGGAUUUCCCUAAGAAAAGCUUGUGACAAAGAUUCAAGUGCUAGUAGCUCAUGUGAGUGAUGAUGUCUGGAAACACAGGUAGGAGACAGAGAAGAGAACGGCAAGCAGCCAAUAGAGGGCACAUUACCUGGGAAGUUACCACUGUGAGUAACUGGAGCUGACCCCAACUCUAGGAGACAGUAUGGAGCAUGGGUCUCAAAGUUAUCUCAACAAAGGGGUGAAUGGGCUGUUUAUACAUGAAUUCCAUCAACUAUUGGCUGACAGCUCAUCCAGGAGCAUAAUUCUUCAGCACUUCUGGCUGCUAAGCACAUGGACAAAGAAAACUCAAUUGGAAAUAUAGCAAGAAUACACUGAAAUAGUGAGGGUGAAUGUAUGGGCUGUUGCACAC